Molecule: RNase P RNA, 484 nt
Filed under: Phycisphaerales bacterium
Lineage: Bacteria; Pseudomonadati; Planctomycetota; Phycisphaerae; Phycisphaerales
Description: RNase P RNA component class A
Rfam family: Bacterial RNase P class A
About the family: Ribonuclease P (RNase P) is a ubiquitous endoribonuclease, found in archaea, bacteria and eukarya as well as chloroplasts and mitochondria. Its best characterised activity is the generation of mature 5'-ends of tRNAs by cleaving the 5'-leader elements of precursor-tRNAs.
Source: RNAcentral
AGGAGUGACCAGGCGGCCGCUCGGCGAAAGCCGGGAGGAAAGUCCGAACUCCACAGGGUACGGUGGUGGGUAACGCCCACCCGCCGUCGAGUUAAAGUCGGCGGCGCGGGAAAGUGCCACAGAAAACAUACCGCCUAUGUCGCCUCUGGCGGCAGGUAAGGGUGCAAUGGUGCGGUAAGAGCGCACCGCGGUUCUGGCGACAGAAUCGGCAAGGCAAACCCCACCGGGUGCAAGACCAAAUAGGGAGCCGACGCGUUGACCCGACGCAUCCUUCGACCGCCACCGUGUGAGUCCCCGUCAAUGGUUGCACACGGCGUGCUGAAGGUUUGUCUACCUUAGUAGCGAAGUGCCGCUCGCGGCAUCAGUCAACGGGCGGACUUAAGGCUCCGGGUAGGUCGCUCGAGGGCGGCAGCAAUGCCGCUCCCAGAUAAAUGGCCGCCGCCGCCAAGCGGUACAGAAUUCGGCUUAUCGGUCAAUCCCGCAA